RNAcentral lists this ribosomal RNA (253 nucleotides) under uncultured bacterium. Its description in RNAcentral is "partial 16S ribosomal RNA". It matches the Rfam family "Bacterial small subunit ribosomal RNA", at positions 524 to 776 of the family's 1533-position model. The record is from RNAcentral.
UACGGAGGGUGCAAGCGUUACUAGGAAUCACUGGGCGUAAAGGGCGCGUAGGCGGCCUAGCAAGUCUGGUGUGAAAGCCCAGGGCUCAACCCUGGAAGGGCACUGGAAACUGUUAGGCUUGAGUUCCGGAGAGGAGGGGGGAAUUCCCGGUGUAGCGGUGAAAUGCGUAGAUGUCGGGAGGAAUACCGGUGGCGAAGGCGCCCCUCUGGACGGAAACUGACGCUGAGGCGCGAAAGCGUGGGGAGAAAACAGG